GGUGGGUUGCCCCGAAUUGGUAAGGGAGCGGAUUGCUAAUCCGUAGCGGCUUCGCCGCUUGUGGGUUCGAGUCCCACACCCACCG
Molecule: transfer RNA, 85 nt
Filed under: bacterium
Lineage: Bacteria
Description: tRNA-Ser
Rfam family: tRNA
About the family: Transfer RNA (tRNA) molecules are approximately 80 nucleotides in length. Their secondary structure includes four short double-helical elements and three loops (D, anti-codon, and T loops). Further hydrogen bonds mediate the characteristic L-shaped molecular structure. tRNAs have two regions of fundamental functional importance: the anti-codon, which is responsible for specific mRNA codon recognition, and the 3' end, to which the tRNAs corresponding amino acid is attached (by aminoacyl-tRNA synthetases). tRNAs cope with the degeneracy of the genetic code in two manners: having more than one tRNA (with a specific anti-codon) for a particular amino acid; and 'wobble' base-pairing, i.e. permitting non-standard base-pairing at the 3rd anti-codon position.
Source: RNAcentral